UACGUAGGGGGCAAGCGUUAUCCGGAUUUACUGGGUGUAAAGGGAGCGUAGACGGCAGCGCAAGUCUGGAGUGAAAUGCCGGGGCUCAACCCCGGAACUGCUUUGGAAACUGUGCGGCUAGAGUGCGGGAGAGGUAAGCGGAAUUCCUAGUGUAGCGGUGAAAUGCGUAGAUAUUAGGAGGAACACCAGUGGCGAAGGCGGCUUACUGGACCGUAACUGACGUUGAGGCUCGAAAGCGUGGGGAGCAAACAGG
This 253-nucleotide ribosomal RNA is filed under the name uncultured bacterium. RNAcentral's name for it is "partial 16S ribosomal RNA". It matches the Rfam family "Bacterial small subunit ribosomal RNA", at positions 524 to 776 of the family's 1533-position model. The record is from RNAcentral.